This 247-nucleotide long non-coding RNA is filed under the name Elaeis guineensis (African oil palm). RNAcentral describes it as "long non-coding RNA (EGUI_LNC012246)". The record is from RNAcentral. Lineage: Eukaryota; Viridiplantae; Streptophyta; Magnoliopsida; Arecales; Arecaceae.
GGAGUAAAAGGAUGAGGAGAAGAAGUGUAUGGGAAGAAAGGGGAGGAGAAAAGAGAGGAGGAUAAUGAGUGAAGAAAGUGGAGAAGAAAGGAGAGGAGAAAAAUGGGUGAAGAAAGCGGAGGAGAAAAAAGGAGGGAAAAAAGAAGGAGAAAUGGGUGAGAAAGAAGAGGACGAGAAAGAAAAGGAGGAAAAAAAGGGAGAAAGAGGGAUGCCGGUCAUAGAGAAGAAGAUCAAUCGAAGAGGAGGG